UGGGGAAUUUUGGACAAUGGGCGAAAGCCUGAUCCAGCAAUGCCGCGUGUGUGAAGAAGGCCUUCGGGUUGUAAAGCACUUUUGUCCGGAAAGAAAUCCUUGGCUCUAAUACCCCGCGGAACUGACGGUACCUGCAGAAUAAGCACCGGCUAACUACGUGCCAGCAGCCGCGGUAAUACGUAGGGUGCAAGCGUUAAUCGGAAUUACUGGGCGUAAAGCGUGCGCAGGCGGUUCGGAAAGAAAGAUGUGAAAUCCCAGAGCUUAACUUUGGAACUGCAUUUUUAACUACCGGGCUAGAGUGUGUCAGAGGGAGGUGGAAUUCCGCGUGUAGCAGUGAAAUGCGUAGAUAUGCGGAGGAACACCGAUGGCGAAGGCAGCCUCCUGGGAUAACACUGACGCUCAUGCACGAAAGCGUGGGGAGCAAACAGGAUUAGAUACCCUGGUAGUCCACGCCCUAAACGAUGUCAACUAGCUGUUGGGGUCUUCGGACCUUGGUAGCGCAGCUAACGCGUGAAGUUGACCGCCUGGGGAGUACGGUCGCAAGAUUAAAACUCAAAUGAAUUGACGGGGUCGAU
Molecule: ribosomal RNA, 575 nt
Filed under: uncultured bacterium
Lineage: Bacteria
Description: partial 16S ribosomal RNA
Rfam family: Bacterial small subunit ribosomal RNA
Source: RNAcentral